Molecule: long non-coding RNA, 418 nt
Filed under: Arabidopsis lyrata
Lineage: Eukaryota; Viridiplantae; Streptophyta; Magnoliopsida; Brassicales; Brassicaceae
Description: long non-coding RNA (ALYR_LNC001580)
Source: RNAcentral
UUUAGUUUAUUGGUCAUCAUCAUACGAUAUACAGGAUUGAACUUGGAUAUUAAAUAAUUACACGGCAAUAUUAACACAAACCAUUAGAUUACAAAUUUGUGUCAAUCUUACAGUAUUUUCACCAAGAAAAUCAUUUUAAGCUCUUAAAACACAAUUAGAAAUUUACGAAAUUUCAGUAGAUGAAACCAGCUAUCAGAGCAACGGUGGCUAUGGCCAAGCCGGUGAAGAUAUCCGUGGCAACGGUGACAGCAGAACUUGGUUUCGCUGUAUUGUCGUAGUCAUAUUGGGCGGAGACCACUGGAAUCACCAAUGCCAGCACCAGACAAGCCCCCGUCAUCUGAACAAACAUCUUCAUCAUUUUGAGAGAAGAUUUUGAUGUGCUUCUCUUAACAAAAAAAAAAAAAAAUUUUGAUGUGCU